AUGCUUUAUUGACAUUGGUAACAAGUAAGGAGUACUAAGGACGUGAUUUCUGAAUCACUUCCUACACCAUUUUAGGAAGGCUAUAUGCGAGUCACUUAAGUAUGGUAAUCUAAGUUUAUUUAGGAUUCGGUUAUUGGAGGUGAUGGUGAUGGUAUUCGCUAAGAAGACCGAACGGGUUAAAAUAAGAGAGUAUAUUAGUGUAGUUUUUAUGCAUAUAAAGAUGUGAAAACAAUGCAGAAUUGUGCAGUAAUUUGCUAGAAUAUUGGUGCAGUUUGUAUGCAUAUCAAGUUGUCAAAAUAGUGCAGAAUUGUCAUGUUUAUUGUUGUUAAAAUAGUGCAGAAUUUUCAUGUUAAUUGUUGUUAAAAUAGUUGCAGUUUUUAUGCAUUUUGAGCUGCCAAAAUAGUGCAGAAUUGUCAUGUUUAUUGUUGUUAAAAUAGUGCAGUUUUUAUGCAUUUUGAGCUGCCAAAAUAGUGCAGAAAUGUGCUGUUUAUUGUUGUUAAAAUAGUGCAGUUUUU
RNAcentral lists this long non-coding RNA (515 nucleotides) under Helianthus annuus (common sunflower). Lineage: Eukaryota; Viridiplantae; Streptophyta; Magnoliopsida; Asterales; Asteraceae. The record is from RNAcentral.